GAGGAUGCUGAUCAUUCACUGG
Molecule: microRNA, 22 nt
Filed under: Symbiodinium microadriaticum
Lineage: Eukaryota; Dinophyceae; Suessiales; Symbiodiniaceae
Description: smc-miR-12461-5p
Source: miRBase by way of RNAcentral